RNAcentral lists this ribosomal RNA (1793 nucleotides) under Triticum aestivum (bread wheat). Its description in RNAcentral is "partial small subunit ribosomal RNA". The record is from RNAcentral. Lineage: Eukaryota; Viridiplantae; Streptophyta; Magnoliopsida; Poales; Poaceae.
GCUUGUACCGCGUUUCGAUGCCGGAGUUGUCUUAAGAGAUCUAGUUGCCGGCGCACAAUUGGCUGAGGGCGACACGAGUGGAACUGGCGAUGCCUAGGAGGACCUGAUUUCUUCUGUGCCGAUAAGACCAGCUGGAGGCCGCAUGGAUUACAAAGGGGGCGAGGAUAUUGGUGAAACAGUGCGCACUGGGAGGGGUGUGUGCGGCUCGUAUGAUCUUGGCGGCGAAGGGAUGGAUGAUUCCUGCGAGAUAGACGAUUCAUAUAUUGCGUCUGAUGCCGGGAACGAGGGUGCGGACGAGGAGGGCGUGGGAGUAACCAAUACGAAUCAAUCUUCUUGGACCAGGAGGGUCAGAGUUGGGAAGGCAAAGGAUGAGAGGGAGCCGAGCCCUUCAAGGAUGCCUCCCCUUGAAGCUUCUGUCCGUGCAUAUGUCGAUAAAAAAUCAGGAAAUGUUGGCAAUCCAUCGAUUGGGACUAGUUUUGAUUCUGUCGAAGAAGGCUACGAGUUUUACAGUAUGUAUUCCUGGGAGGCCGUCUGAAUGUACACCGGAAAAAAUGCAUGCAGGAGAUUGUGUAGGCAGAGAAGUGAGAGUGCAAACCACCUACUGAAAGGGUAUGUACCACCAGGGUGCCCCAUGCACUUGUUCAUCAGGCAGUAUGAGAAAAAUGCAAUUUGACCGUGACUCAGAAGAAAGUUACCAGGAGAAAAGGACAAAACUAUGGGUUGUCCUGAAGCAAAAUAUCCCAAAUGAGGUGCAUGCAGCGCAGGUUUAUACCAGCGCUGUAUGAACCUGGGUUGUAUGAUCUAGUAGAAGUCAAGCCGCAUUUGGAGUACAUUGCUAGGCACAUCAAAUUUCAGUCGAGGGAAAAGCGGUGCAAGAAUGAGUUUGUGAUCUCCGUGAGCGAGUCGGCUGAUGAGUUCGGGUGCGAGUGUGGGACAUUCGAGCACUAUGCAAUGGUUUGCAGCCAUGCACUUAAGGUCAUGAUACACCUGAAUUUGCAUGAGCUCCCUGCGAAGCAUGUGCUCAGGCGAUGGACUAGAUAUGCAAGAGAUAUACUACCGCCAGAGUAUCUGCGCUACCAGAAGGAUCAUCGACCGCUGAAGUAUUCUUCUCGUCAACGCAACACUUUGUACCUGCUAGCGCUUGAUGCCGUUAAGUUAGGCGACAGCAAUGUGGAAGCAUGUGCAUUUGCUAUGGAGAAAAUGCGAGAUGUCAAAGUGCAGGUCGAGCCAGUUGCCGCCAUGAGGGAUGGGCUUGGUUUGUCUGAUAUAGAGUUGGCUACAGAUUCAGCCGGCUCUGGCAUUGGUAACAAACAGCACUUUGGCCGAACUGGGUCUGAGCAGACCAUUUCGCAAGGAUCAGACGUGUUCCUGACGCCGUCAAGGAAACGACCGGCUGGGCGUCCCACAACUAGCCGCAACAAAGCUCCAUACGAGGAACCAUCAAAAGAGGAGUAGAUUAUGUUAUGUAUGCGGAGUUCAGGGACACAAGAGCACAACAUGCCUUGCUCGGGGGAUGUGCCAAAGGCACCUAGGAAAUCUCCUCGCUGCUCAAAAUGUGGGUUAACAGGGCACAGGAACACAUGCAGCAACCCGGUUAAAGUCUGAAAAAACUUAAUUUCAGUGUUGUUUACUGGUGGUAUGCAUUUGGCUAUGUCACCUUUGUUAUUAGAAACAGUCUCUGGAACGAGCUGAGGAAUAAGAAGACGCCAUGACUACGGUUAUGGGGAGAGGUUCAGAAGAGUCGAAAGCUUUGGUUGUGCUGAAAUGGACACGUCCGCUGCUGUUCUUCUGCG